GGUUCGAUUCUGGCUCAGAUUGAACGCUGGCGGGAUGCUUUACACAUGCAAGUCGAACGGCAGCACGGACUGGUCUGGUGGCGAGUGGCGAACGGGUGAGUAAUGUAUCGGAACGUGCCUCUAGUAGCGGGAUAACUACGCGAAAGCGUAGCUAAUACCGCAUGGGCCAGCGCCCUUCGGGGGAAAGCGGGGACCUUCGGGCCUCGCACUAUUAGAGCGGCCGAUAUCGGAUUAGCUAGUUGGUGGGGUAACGGCUCACCAAGGCGCGACGAUCCGUAGCUGGUUUGAGAGGACGACCAGCCACACUGGGACUGAGACACGGCCCAGACUCCUACGGGAGGCAGCAGUGGGGGAAUUUUGGACAAUGGGGAAACCCUGAUCCAGCCAUCCCGCGUGUGCGAUGAAGGCCUUCGGGUUGUAAAGCACUUCAAGGCAGGAAGAAACGGCACGGAUAAUACCCGUGCAACUGACGGUACUCGCAGAAUAAGCACCGGCUAACUAUGCCGCCAGCAGCCGGCGGUAAUACGUAGGGUGCAAGUGUUAAUCGGAAUUACUGGGCGUAAAGCGUGCGCAGGCGGUUCGGAAAGAAAGAUGUGAAAUCCCAGAGCUUAACUUUGGAACUGCAUUUUUAACUACUGAGCUAGAGUGUGUCAGAGGGAGGUGGAAUUCCGCGGGGCAGUGAAAUGCGUAGAUAUGCGGAGGAACACCGAUGGCGAAGGCAGCCUCCUUGGGAUAACACUGACGCUCAUGCACGAAAGCGUGGGGAGCAAACAGGAUUAGAUACCCCAGUAGUCCACGCCUCUAAACGAUGUCAAUCCAGCUGUUGGGGCCUUUCGCCUGGUAGCGCGCAGCUAACGCGUGAAGUUGACCGCCGGGGAGCAGGUCGGUCGCAGAUUAAAACUCAAAGGAAUUGACGGGGACCCCGCACAAGCGGUGGAUGAUGUGGAUUAAUUCGAUGCAACGCGGAAAACCUUACCUACCCUUGACAUGUCUGGAAUCCUGAAGAGAUUUGGGAGUGCUCGCAAGAGAACCGGAACACAGCAAAAGCGUAUGGCUGUCGUCAGCUCGUGUCGUGAGAUGUUGGGUUAAGUCCCGCAACGAGCGCAAACCCUUGUCAUUAGUUGCUACGAAAGGGCACUCUAAUGAGACUGCCGGUGACAAACCGGAGGAAGGUGGGGAUGACGUCGGCGGUCCUCAUGGCCCUUAUGGGUAGGGCUUCACACGUCAUACAAUGGCGGUCGGGACAGAGGGUCGCCAACCUGCGAGGGGGAGCCAAUCCCAGAAACCCGAUCGUAAUCCGGAUCGCAGUCUGCAACUCGACUGCGUGAAGUCGGAAUCGCUAGUAAUCGCGGAUCAGCAUGUCGCGGUGAAUAAGCGUUCCCGGGUCUUGUACACACCGCCCGUCACACCAUGGGAGUGGGUUUUACCAGAAGUAGUUAGCCUAACCGUAAGGAGGGCGAUUACCACGGUAGGAUUCAUGACUGGGGUGAAGUCGCACAAGGUAG
This 1505-nucleotide ribosomal RNA is filed under the name uncultured Bordetella sp. Its description in RNAcentral is "partial 16S-23S ribosomal RNA intergenic spacer". It matches the Rfam family "Bacterial small subunit ribosomal RNA". Lineage: Bacteria; Pseudomonadati; Pseudomonadota; Betaproteobacteria; Burkholderiales; Alcaligenaceae. The record is from RNAcentral.